UACGGAGGGUGCAAGCAUUAAUCGGAUUUACUGGGCGUAAAGGGCGCGUAGGCGGGAGAGAAAGUCAAAUGUGAAAUUCCGGUGCUCAACAUCGGAACUGCAUUUGAAACUUCUCUUCUUGAGGAUAGACGGAGAAAGCGGAAUUCCACAUGUAGCGGUGAAAUGCGUAGAUAUGUGGAAGAACACCUGUGGCGAAAGCGGCUUUCUAGUUUACACCUGACGCUGAGGCGCGAGAGUGAGGGGAGCAAACAGG
RNAcentral lists this ribosomal RNA (253 nucleotides) under Parachlamydiaceae bacterium. RNAcentral describes it as "partial 16S ribosomal RNA". It matches the Rfam family "Bacterial small subunit ribosomal RNA", at positions 524 to 776 of the family's 1533-position model. Lineage: Bacteria; Pseudomonadati; Chlamydiota; Chlamydiia; Parachlamydiales; Parachlamydiaceae. The record is from RNAcentral. RNAcentral also lists the same sequence under 1 other name.